RNAcentral lists this ribosomal RNA (497 nucleotides) under uncultured bacterium. Its description in RNAcentral is "partial 16S ribosomal RNA". It matches the Rfam family "Bacterial small subunit ribosomal RNA", at positions 28 to 507 of the family's 1533-position model. The record is from RNAcentral.
GAUGAACGCUGGCGGCGUGCCUAAUACAUGCAAGUCGAGCGAACGGACGAGAGGCUUGCUUCUCUGAUGUUAGCGGCGGACGGGUGAGUAACACGUGGAUAACCUACCUAUAAGACUGGGAUAACUUCGGGAAACCGGAGCUAAUACCGGAUGAUAUUUUGAACCGCAUGGUUCAAAAGUGAAAGACGGUCUUGCUGUCACUUAUAGAUGGAUCCGCGCUGCAUUAGCUAGUUGGUAAGGUAACGGCUUACCAAGGCAACGAUGCAUAGCCGACCUGAGAGGGUGAUCGGCCACACUGGAACUGAGACACGGUCCAGACUCCUACGGGAGGCAGCAGUAGGGAAUCUUUCGCAAUGGGCGAAAGCCUGACGGAGCAACGCCGCGUGAGUGAUGAAGGUCUUCGGAUCGUAAAACUCUGUUAUUAGGGAAGAACAUAUGUGUAAGUAACUGUGCACAUCUUGACGGUACCUAAUCAGAAAGCCACGGCUAACUACGUG